RNAcentral lists this ribosomal RNA (468 nucleotides) under uncultured bacterium. RNAcentral describes it as "partial 16S ribosomal RNA". It matches the Rfam family "Bacterial small subunit ribosomal RNA", at positions 28 to 507 of the family's 1533-position model. The record is from RNAcentral.
GACGAACGCUGGCGGCGUGCUUAACACAUGCAAGUCGAACGGAAAGGCCCUGCUUUUGUGGGGUGCUCGAGUGGCGAACGGGUGAGUAACACGUGAGUAACCUGCCCUUGACUUUGGGAUAACUUCAGGAAGCUGGGGCUAAUACCGGAUAGGAGCUCCUGCUGCAUGGUGGGGGUUGGAAAGUUUCGGCGGUUGGGGAUGGACUCGCGGCUUAUCAGCUUGUUGGUGGGGUAGUGGCUUACCAAGGCUUUGACGGGUAGCCGGCCUGGGAGGGUGACCGGCCACAUUGGGAUUGAGAUACGGCCCAGACUCCUACGGGAGGCAGCAGUGGGGAAUAUUGCACAAUGGGCGGAAGGCUGAUGCAGCAACGCCGCGUGCGGGAUGACGGCCUUCGGGUUGUAAACCGCUUUCGCCUGUGACGAAGCGUGAGUGACGGUAAUGGGUAAAGAAGCACCGGCUAACUACGUG